Molecule: ribosomal RNA, 311 nt
Filed under: uncultured eukaryote
Lineage: Eukaryota
Description: partial large subunit ribosomal RNA
Rfam family: Eukaryotic large subunit ribosomal RNA
Source: RNAcentral
AUAUCAUUAAGCGGAGGAAAAGAAAAUAACAAUGAUUCCCCUAGUAACGGCGAGUGAAGCGGGAAGAGCUCAAAAUGAAAAUCGGGGGCGCAGCUUCUGAAUUGUAGUCUCAAGAGAUGUUACCAGUGGAGUCGCAGGGAUAAGUCGCUUGGAAAAGCGCAUCAGAGAGGGUGAGAAUCCCGUUCUUGCUCUGCAGAACUCCACGUACGGUGCGUUUUCAACGAGUCGCGUUCCUUGGGAUUGGAGCGCUAAAUGGGUGGUAAAUUUCAUCUAAAGCUAAAUAUUUGUGGGAGACCGAUAGCGCACAAGUA